Long non-coding RNA from Tachysurus vachellii, 3044 nucleotides. RefSeq lists it as uncharacterized. The transcript has 6 exons. NCBI's taxonomy places the organism in Eukaryota, Metazoa, Chordata, Actinopteri, Siluriformes, Bagridae. The record is from RefSeq and is a predicted model, not a curated record.
AGGUGACAACCUGGGAUCCCACAUGAUUGGUGGUUUUGUCGAGAACUUUAGCCGAAGCCUACAUUUCUGCAGGUAUGUCUAAUUUAGAGGAAAUAAAACUUGCCAUCUCCUCUUCAUUACCUGGUCUCUCUGAUGAAAAGCUUCAAAAAUUUAUCCAUGGUCUUUCUGCUAUUGGUGUUGAGACAAAAGAUGACCUCCGGUAUGUCAAAGAAGAAGACCUCAUGGAAUUCCUCAGGCCUAUACAAUGCCGCAAACUACUGAAUGCAUGAAAAAAUGAAGAACAAUCCAGCUGCUCGACUCCCCAACGAUCAUCGCGUCAAGUUCUUUCGGAUAUAUCAAGACCAGGAUCAGAGAGUUCAAGUUCUACACCAUCUCGUUCUACUGCUUGCUUUUCAGCAUCUUGCGCCUGGGCUGAAACAUUUAAGGUGCCUUGGGAAGUCAUGCCUUCCGAAAUUAAACUGGCCAUUGCAAAUAAAAAAAGACCAUCACCAGCUGAUUGAAGGAAGCUAGUAAGAAUGUUAGUGGAUAACAUGCAAAAACAUGAAGUAAACCCAUCAAAGGCACAGUGUCAGAUUGUAGUGCAGAAUAUUGUUAAGCAGUACCCGGACAGCUUUGCUGAUGUUCUGUCUGAUGGAACAAAAAUAGGUAGUGGGUAUGCCUCUUUGCUCUUGCAAGUGUUGUACAUGUAAACAGAAACAACACUUUAGCUCGUCGGAGAAAAGAAUGACUACGAUCAUCGUGUAGAACCAUAAGUCAGAGCUCAAGAAUGCUGGCUGAUCAAUAUGGUUGUGUCAGUUGGCAGCCUGAGGAGUUUCCUGUAGGAGAAAAUGAUGACACUCUAGAAGAGAAGCGCAAGCAAAUGGUGCAAAUGGUGCUGCUUCAUUCUACUGAAGGAAUGUCUGGAGCCAAUAGAGGAGAACUUCACAAGUUGAUGGAGGUCACAUAUUAGCGUCAGUGCCGUGAUAUAAACGCCACUCCACCACUGUCUGAACUAAAGAACUCAUGGCCUUACCUGUUUUGUCUGAAGGGGAUCUUUUUACAUUUCCAAUUGCUUACUGAUAUCUCACUGCUACAAAAAAUCAUGGAGAGCAUUGAAGGGAAAGGAAAGAGGAUUCUAAGAUUUCUUUCAAGAAAAGCCAACAAACAAAGAGGUGUGUGCUGUUCUGUUAAAGUAUCAAGAGGCAAAUUCUCUGGUCCUGUGCAUCUUGAAACUCUUAAUGGCCGAUUUCAAAGUGAGAACAGAAUCGCUUCUAAUUGAAGCUGAUGCAGCAGCAACUGCAGCCAACAUGGAAAGAGAGGGAUUACCGGAUUCACCCGCACUGAUCAUCCAAGGUGAAUCCAUGACCCCAAGCAAGUGGAUGUUGUCCUUUGAGAGGGAAGUUGUCCUGGGCCCAUUUUCAGAGGCAUUUGUUGAGGGCCUGGCAGCAUUGUUUGCGACCUAUUACAACUUAAAUCUUGCUUAUUAGGAUGAUGCUGCAUGCACGCUGGAAUUUAUUCAGAGAGGACUUGUGGGCAUCAACCCGGAAACAAGAAAAAGCGAGACAAGAAAAUGCAUGGAAUGAACGCACAUGUACAGUAUGCACACUGUUGCGUAAACUAAUGGACUUUGAAUGGCUUGUCAUUUAAAGUAUUCCAAUAGAAUUGCUACCAGAGACUGACCCGAUUUCCAAGUUCAUAUUCUUGCCUUUAAGGUAGGCACAGUUCAGACCAUUUCUUUAGUUUAUGACUUUAGAACAAUCACUUUAGGAAUGUGUGCACUGCAUAGUUAGUAUUUAAGUGCUGCUGUUCUUUUGCCUUACAUUUAAUGUGCAAUCUCCUUUUUUUUCUCUCCAUUGUUUCUCCAAAUACAUUUUGGCAUCAGGUUAUGUUAAAUAGCCAUUAUUGCACAAUAAAUUUGUUAUAUUAAUGAACCAAGGCUAAAGCCUUGCAUUUAAUGUGCAAUCUCCUUUUUUUAUUGUUUCACCAAAUAGAUUUUGGAAUCUGGUUAUGUUAAAUAGCCAUUACAAUAAAUUUAUGUUAAUGAACCUGUUAUUGUGAGUUUUAUUUGACAAAAAUGCUUUAACUUACAGCAAACAAAUAGUGAAUUGAAUUCCACAUCAGAUGCUCUAAUUUACUGUAAAAUGUAUAGCAGUACAUGUAAGUUCAUUGUUGCUCUUGUAAUUUCACUUGCAUUCAUAAACAUUAUUUCGACUUUAAUUUUAGUUACAGCUGUAAAAAUGUACAGCAUAUAUACAUGUAUAUAAGGCAGUGUGCUGUGUUUUUUACAGUACAAUUGUAGUUAAUGAUUUACAGUAGUCUUGGAAAUAUUACAGUAUUACUGGCAACCAAAGUUGCCAGUAAGUUACUGUAAAUUUUACAGUUAAUUUUUUACAGUGAGGACAAGAAAAUGUGACCAUAUAACCCCAAUUUUAUCAUCUCUACACUGGCUACCUGUUAUUUUUAGAAUUGAUUACAAACUGCUGCUACGUACAAGGCUCUUAAUGGUUUAGCGCCCAUGUAUCUAACUAGUCUUUUAACAUGUUACAAUCCUUCAUGCUCUCUGAGAAUAGUCAGACACACUUUCACAGUUUAAAUGUAGAUUAAAAACUUAUCUUUUAGUCAAGCGUACAUAAAAUACUUCCUAUAAUCUUGUGCUAUAAUACAUCUGACCAAAUGCACAUUAUCAUCUAGUGCUUGCUAAUAUUAUGAACAGCAGAUAUGUUAAUCCCUCUCCACUGCUUCUUUCUUUCUACCCACCCCGAGGCAUCCAGAAAUUGUACCAGCUCUGACUGUCUUGCGACAAUUUUCCCAGAGAAACCGAAGUACCCGGAGGAAACCCCCGAGGCACGGGGAGAACAUGCAAACUCUACACACACAAGGCGGAGGCGGGAAUCGAACCCCCAACCCUGGAGGUGUGAGGCAAACGUGCUAACCACUAAGCCACCGUGCCCCCCUGGGAUAAAUACAAACACAUUUAAAAAUAUGUAAUAUUAAUCUUGAAUUUUGUAAUAUAUUAAUCUUUAUAUUAUUCUUAUAAUAACCUUUUGUUCUAUGUUUAUGUUAUG